GGGUUGUGAGGUUAAGCGACUAAGCGUACACGGUGGAUGCCCUGGCAGUCAGAGGCGAUGAAGGACGUGCUAAUCUGCGAUAAGCGCCGGUAAGGUGAUAUGAACCGUUAUAACCGGCGAUUUCCGAAUGGGGAAACCCAGUGUGAUUCGUCACACUAUCAUUAACUGAAUCCAUAGGUUAAUGAGGCGAACCGGGGGAACUGAAACAUCUAAGUACCCCGAGGAAAAGAAAUCAACCGAGAUUCCCCCAGUAGCGGCGAGCGAACGGGGAGGAGCCCAGAGCCUGAAUCAGCAUGUGUGUUAGUGGAAGCGUCUGGAAAGGCGCGCGAUACAGGGUGACAGCCCCGUACACAAAAGCGCAUGUGCUGUGAGCUCGAUGAGUAGGGCGGGACACGUGGUAUCCUGUCUGAAUAUGGGGGGACCAUCCUCCAAGGCUAAAUACUCCUGACUGACCGAUAGUGAACCAGUACCGUGAGGGAAAGGCGAAAAGAACCCCGGCGAGGGGAGUGAAAAAGAACCUGAAACCGU
This 528-nucleotide ribosomal RNA is filed under the name Salmonella enterica subsp. enterica serovar Heidelberg. RNAcentral's name for it is "partial 23S ribosomal RNA". It matches the Rfam family "Bacterial large subunit ribosomal RNA", at positions 1 to 559 of the family's 2925-position model. Lineage: Bacteria; Pseudomonadati; Pseudomonadota; Gammaproteobacteria; Enterobacterales; Enterobacteriaceae. The record is from RNAcentral. RNAcentral also lists the same sequence under 33 other names.